GGGGCUGUAGUUAAAUAUAACAUUUGUUUUGCAUAUAAAAAGUAUUGAUCUUUCAAUCUGCCUU
RNAcentral lists this transfer RNA (64 nucleotides) under Caenis sp. JYZ-2020. Its description in RNAcentral is "tRNA-Ala". The record is from RNAcentral. Lineage: Eukaryota; Metazoa; Arthropoda; Insecta; Ephemeroptera; Caenidae.